CCCCGUGGCAUCACCCUCUCCACACCCUCCCGACCCUGACUGGCCAUCGUCACUGUGUUCUCCUUGCCCCUGUGUUCAUCACGUGACCUCCCUGCCCCGUGUCACGGCGUGUCCUGCUUCCACAUUCUACGACCUCACGUGUCGGGCACGUCCCUGUCAGUUCCACAGACACGUCCCGUACCUGGUGGACGGCCUGUGGGAGGCAGCGCCCGCCCUGGUCCGGAACUGGGAGUGCAUGACGGCCCUGCUGCUGGAGCCCCGCGGCGGGUGCCAAGCCCUGACCAGCCAGCAGGAAAGAGUGCUCAUUGAGAUCCUCGUGGCCGCCGUGAGACAAGCUGCAGAGGGGCGCCCACCUGCCGGCCGGCGCCUGGGCAAGAAAGUCAGUGCCACCCCCUGCCCCCUGCCUUGGUGCUCUCCGUCCCCUGUGCUGAGCGCUCUGCUGUGGGCUCUGUGGCCGUCCGCUCCCGCCUCCGCCUCGCAGUGCCCCCCGCCCGCGUGGCCCCGAGAGCCGCUUGCUGCUGCUUCCGCCUUGUGCUUGUCACCCUGACUGCUCACUUGGCCCCUGGCCGUGCGGGCGGGACUCCUGGCCACCCAGGUAGGUGUCGCUGGCCACGCCUCGCAGCUGCGGUGCACCCCUCCUGCUGGCUGCCGAGCCCUGUGCCCACUGGGUCCUGUGUCUGCCGUCUGCCUCCCCGGGGAGGGCAUGCCGUAGCCUGCCUUAUGCCGUGUUCUCUCUGGAUGUAGCUGUUUGUCGGCCAGCCUUGGAUCUGCCUCCGUGUGAGCCUCUGCUGCUGCUGGGACAAAAGAUCACACCCCAGGGCACUUAAACACCACAGGAGUUAUACAUGGUGCCCCCACUCUGGAGACCAGAGUCUGAGAUGCAGGCGGAACAGGAUCUCUGAGAUCCAGGCAGGGCAGGGAUGCCGAGUUCCGGGCAGGGCAGGACCUCUGAGAUCCCAGCGGGGCAGGACCUCUGAGAUCCAGGCAGGGCAGGGAUGCCGAGUUCCGGGCAGGGCAGGACCUCUGAGAUCCAGGCGAAAAGAGCUGUGUUCCCGCCUGAGGCUGCCGGGGAGGGUUCUCCCCGCCUUUUCCAGGUGCUGAGGCUCCAGGUGACCCUGGGCUCUGGUUGAGUCCCUCCCACUUCUGCCUUUGUCCUCCCUUGGCUGUCAUGUUCUCGUCUGUGCACACGUCCAGCUCUGUGUGUUAAUAUCCGUUUUAUGGCAACGUACCAGUAGAUAAGGGUCCCACCCUGAGGUGUGACCUUGGGGGAGGCGGCUGAGUUCUUGACGGCGUCCCUGCGUGGGCAGCACUUCCUUGGAAACAAAAACCCGAGUCGUCGUCCAGAGCUUUAUCCUUGAUUUGGGGGGAGCUCCGCCUGGGUAUGACCUGGCCACGUGGCAGCAGGUCCCAGGGCCGCCGUGGGACCCCCGUGGGUCC
This 1437-nucleotide long non-coding RNA is filed under the name Neogale vison (American mink). RNAcentral's name for it is "Neovison vison (American mink) lncRNA (ENSNVIG00000015784.1)". Lineage: Eukaryota; Metazoa; Chordata; Mammalia; Carnivora; Mustelidae. The record is from RNAcentral.